AACUGUGUUUUAAUAGACAUUUUACAGUGGGGAUAUCACUUGCAACUUGACAUAAAAUCUGAACUGCACCAUACUUACAGUGGAAACUUGUGAGAAGUUAAUUAAAAUGUCGGUAUUAUUUUACUGCUUAAUGGGUUUGGGAAAUGCCCUUCAUAAAAAUAAUGACCCUGGAUGUGGUGGUUCAGCUGGAUGGGGGUGAUUCUUUCCUCACCACCUGAAUCCAGCACAGCAGCCAGCUGUACAAGUAGAUGUGGCUGCUGGUGUAAGCAGGCACCAGUAUGUAUGUGUAAAGCGGCUGGGGAACACAUACUCAGUCAGGAUUUGCAUACACCAUCCUGUAAUUCAGGCACGUUGUCAUGACAGGCUAUUUCUGGGCAUGGUGGGUCAUUACUGGCUUAAUAAGAGCUUCCUCUAAAGCUGGCAAAGGCCCUCUCCUGUCCCUGACUCAGGGGCUAUUGUCAGGGAGAAAGACUUGGAGUAGAAGGUGAAGGUGAGCAUGGAAGGGUGGGUUCAAGAAGAGCCAUCACUUCAUGAGUGCUGCAGGUCUUCUGGAGGGCACGUUUAUGGUCUGUGGCCUCCCAAAUCUUGGAAAGCACUCCUUGCAAGUGGCACAGGGCAGGGAGAAGUCGGUAGCAGCAUCUGCUUUCACCCUCUGGAGACCAGAGAGUUGUUAAUUCCUUUGAAUAUUCUUUAGGGGGCAUUAAUUGCUAUUCAUCAGUAACUACUAGGGUACUCUGUUGGAAGAUUGACACAGAAACUUUGGUGUCUUUAUCCAGUUUUGUCCUCUUAGGAAUCAUAGAAAGGUUUGUAGAAUGUAAUCCAUGUAAGUAAAGGAUAUUUUUUAAUUCUUUUUUUUGUUUCGGUACAACAGUAGCAUAAUUAUUGCACAUAAUUUUGCAAUGAAUUUUUGUGUAAAAAUAGUAUAAUUGCAAUCUAUUCACUCUUCUUGAUCAUCUACAGGUCUGUCUCCCAUUCAUUUGAAUGGAUUCAAAAUUAAUGGUUUUUCCUGUUCCUUAUAAUGAUAAAUGACCGUAACUAGAUCGCAGAGUUUUGCUUACAUACGUAAAUGAUGCUAAAUCAAUUUGAGGUGCAUUCAUCUCUUUUGAGGUUGAUGAAUUGCAAAUUAGGAGUACUGGGAACCUGUUACUCCUCUUUUCCUGGCCCCCAGCCCCAACAUUCACCCCAGUUAUAUUAUGUUUCACUUUUUAAAAGAUGAUUGUUACAUUAAUGCUAGUGAGGAUAGGAACUCCAGUGUGUGAAAUACAAAUGUAGAAGGAAAGCUUAGCCCUAAAGAGCUGAAAUACUAGUUAACAGGAUUGUAGGAAGAGGUCAUGUAGAAAAGAUGGAGAAAAAAGUGAAAACAGAGCAGUAAUGCUUUAUAUAACUCUGUCUUACACAGAAUGCAUGAUAUGAAGACUUCUGGUGGGAGGUCUUCUGAAACAUAUAUAAACUCCUGACUAGAGUGCUCUCAUGACAGAGCAAAGACUGUUUAUGGAAAAUCAGCAGGUUUGCAGUGCUCUCUGUAAAGGUGCUCCUUGACUUUGCAAAGCUCUAGUAGAAAUCCAAGGAUGUGCCUGUCAAGAGUCAAGGUUUAAGGGCGAAGUGAUACUGAAGAGGCUGUGCUGGGGUCUGACCUAAAGCCCCUAAAUAAGAUGUGGAGGGUGAGGCUUUCUACAGACAAUUAUAGAAGUCUCCUGAUUGCAAGCUUUUGGGUCUCAUUUCUCAUGGGACAUUUCAGCUAUCCAGAUAUGUACUGCUAGGCUUGCACCAUGUAAGCAACCCAAGAAGUCCCUAGACUAUGUUGCUCAGUUUAUAAUGCAAAUGGUGGAGGGGCUGUAUUUGACCUGCUGCUUGCAAAGUGGGAAGAACUGGCAGAAAGUAUGGCAGAAAUGGCAACUUGGGCUGCAGCGACCAUGAGAUAAUCGAGUUCAAGGCGCAGAGAAAGGCUGGGAAGAGAAGCAGCAGAAAGAAGGACCCUGGACUUUAUAGAACAGAGUUUGGCUUAGGGAAGUUGUGUGCAAAAUUCCUAGGGAGCUGCCAAAAGGGAAAGGGGAACAGGAGGGCUGGCUGAUUUAAAAGGGAAAAAAAUAAAUAAAUUAUUUUAAAAAAAUCAAAACCCCAGGCAAAACUAGGCAAAACCCCCAAAACUUGCUGAGACGUGAAGAACAAUCUGCCUUGUUGUACAGGAUGGGCUUUCAGCAGAAGGCUCUCCUGACCAAGCAUGGAGUUGCAUGGUGAGCCAGUAAUGCAACCACAUAGCAUGCAAGAAUUGAAAAGAUGAAUGUACAACAAAGGAAGAGUAUAAAGAUAUUGUUCAAGCCUUUUUUUGGCAAAAAUGAGUAAGGUCAAGGCCCAUCUGGAGCUAAUAUGAGAAGAGGGCAUUUAGCGUAACAAGAAGGGAUUCUACAGGAACACAGAUUACAAAAGAAGUUCAAAGAGCAUGUAGGCCUUUGGGGGAGAACAAAAAACCAUUACAAAACAGGGUCCGCAGUGUCUUUUUUGAGUCAGACAAAGUUUACUCCCAGCUUUAUACAUACCAUCACUAUUUGAUAUAGAAGAUAGCCUACAGGGAAGGAGUAAUGAGUCAGAGACAACUACAACUGGAUAUAAUCAGAUCCAUAGGGCUUGAUGAGAUUCAUCAGUAUUGAAAGAGUUACUUGUUACCUAUCAUCUGUGAAAAAUCAGGGUGAUCUACAGAGGCCCAUGAAGACUGGAAAAAGGCUAAAGACUGAAAGGCCUGUCUUGCAUAUGGGCAGAAAGGAGAAUCCAGGGAACAAUAUGACAGUUAUUGUAACCUCAUUCACUGAAAAAGAACAUCUUGAAAUUCAUUUUCAAACAUAGCAAAGACAAGAAGCCAGUGGCCUGUAUGAGGAGGCAGAUGGCACCGUUAGCAAAUUUACAGACUGUGUUAAGUGGGGGGGAGUGAUUGACACACAGAAUAGCAGAGCUUUAGUCCAGAGGAAUCUUCAGAAAGUUGAAGGCUGGGACAACAGAAGUUUCAUGAGCUUAAGCAAGAAGAAAUGCAAGUUUCUGCAUUCAGGGCAGAGUAACUCCAGCAGUGGUACAAAGUGGUAGCUGUCUAAACAGCAGCCUGGCUGGAAAGGACCUCAGGGUUAUGGUGAACUGGUUGAACCAUGUAUGGUUGAGCCAAAAGGCAAAGGCAAGGUAGACCACACACUGGGCUAGAAGCAGCAUAGCCAGCAGAUCAAGUUGUUCUCAUCUGCCUUUACUUGGCACUGGUUAGGCCAUACCUGGAAUCAUGCAUCCCUUACUGGGCCUCCUUCCUCCCCCCAUUUCAAAGAAGGCUGUAAAGGGGCUGGAGAGAUCCAGCAGAGAGCUGCCAGGAUACUGAAGGACCAAGAGCACAAGCAGAGGUUGACAGAUCAGUCUGGUGAAGAGGAGGCCGUAGGGAACAUGUUACUGAGAGAGACUAUGCAACCUCCACCCUGGGAAAUUUUGGAAGAGUUGGCCAGACAAACCAACCAGACAAACUGAUGGGACUUAGUGCAGGUGAUACCCAUGGUAUCAUGCAAGAGGAUGGACUAAAUGAUUUCCACAGGUCACUUUCAAGCAACUUUCUAUGAUUCUAUUAUAAACAUCAUCUGUAAGUAAUAAGAGAUACCUAUAUGAUUGCACAGAUGCAAAGACAAAUCUUAUCAAGAUGAGAUGGGCUUCUGGGUCAGGGCAAGAGCAAAAAUCUCUAGGAAUGUUUUUAAUGAUGUUACAUUUUUCUUUUACAUGUGUCGUAACAAAGGAAUGCUUAUGUUUUUCUGCCUCCAGGAAAUGUUUCCUGAAACACUGUUCUUCCUCUUCGUGAUAGCCACUGAGCAGAGUUUGUUCUGUUUCCCAGUAUUAGUCUAUGUCUGUCUGCAGGUUCCUACUUCUUCUGGGAGUUUGAAGUCACUUCUGCUGAACUUUUCCUUGUUAUGCACUUGUAACAUUUGGUACCUGAGUCAUGACUCCUGAAACUUUCUCUUGAUUUUUGCCUUUGAGUGUCUUUAUUGGGUUUGGUUGGGUUUUGUUGCUGUUACUGGUUUUAACAACCUUUAUCCUAGAUCAUACAAUUGCAAUGAGCAUAACUUUUAUAAAAGCUUGAUUUGUGAUCUUCUCAUUUACUCCACUUCAGUUUCCUCCAUAUUAGGGAGUACACAGUUCCCAUCCUUCCAAAAGCCCAACCAGAUUUUUUCCAAGUGAAAAAAUAUUGCUUCAGCUAAUGUGUUGCUCCUCUGAGCUCUCAGAGGAGAGCAGGGUGUAGUGGAGACACCAGGAUUGUAUUUUUUUGAGGUCUGUGAGAGAGGAGGAGCAUGGAAGUAGGUGCAGAAUAGCCAUCAAAUUCACUGAGACAUUAUAAAUAUUCCCUCUGCAUUUCAAUGUAAACCUGAGACAGUUCAAUGUACUUGCAAGCUCCUGCUGCGCUGAAACUAGGCUGUGGUCUCCUUGGUCUCCAGAUAGUACCUUUUUCAAGGGAGUGUAUGUGGGACUUUCUCAGGCUUUCCAGUUACGUCUGUUCUGCCGUAUAUUAAUAGUCAUUGAACCACAGAAAGACUGACUUGGCUUCCUUCACAUUCUUGUUGUGAAUCAGGCAGAGCUGGGACUUGUGUCUGGUUCUCUCAUGUGCUACAUGAAUUUCCCUGACAAGCAAAUUACUAUUAUCCUGUCAUUCUUUUCUUCCUAGUUUUAACCAAAGUUUGUGCCUCUCCUUGUUGAUACUGCCUUAUUUUCCCCAAAGCUUGUAUUUGACUAAUGAAUAUUUUUAACAAUAACAGAAAUUACAUUUUUCUGUAGCCACACAACUAGGAAUCCUAGAAUCUUAAUUGGGCUGGUUAUUUGUACACAAAAGGAACAAAGACUGUAGGAGACCCCAGACAGCUGAUGAGUGACAGGAUUCAAUAGGCUGAAGCAAAAAAAGAAAUGGAAAGUGGCUGUGUGAGCAUUCAUGAGAAGGGAAAGGUGUUGGAGAAAUGGUGAAAUGAAUAUAGAAGAUUGGAAAAAUGGUUCUUUGCUUGUUGUCUGUUCCAUCCGUACCCCUUUCCCCAGUGUGCUCUUGUUAAUAACACCCUUUGAAUUAAACUUCCAAAAGUUGUAUACAGUUUUCUGGGACUGACUUGGACCUUUUCUGGGAUUAUGACUAUUAUUAUCUAGGCUUUUUCUAUUAUAUUUGGUGGUUUCCAUUCCUUUGUGUUAUUGUUACAUUAUCUUCCUUGUUUUCUCUUUUGUUAUGUACUACUUCAUAUUUGAAUGUGUGCUACUCUGUCAGGUGCCAUUUGAUUCUGUCCUUUCUGAUCUUUUUACAUAUUUCUCCAACUUCGCCUCCUUUUGAUUGGCUAUUAGCUGUAUCAUUGCUCUCAUUAAUUAGUUUCUGACAAUGAUUUGAGAUUUCACUUUUUCAGCUGCACAUUUUGGUUUUACUUUGAUACUACUUCUCCACUUUCCAUUACUAUCCCUAAACAGUGUGAGCCUGUAGUGAUUUCUGUGAUUCAGCCACAGAACAAAUAUUGCUGUCAAUGAAACUGAAAGCAACUGCAGUGGUGUAUUCAGAGGAAAAAGAGCUGGCCCUUAGUUUCUGCAUUUAUGUCCUGUGUUAGUCUCAAUGGUAAAAGGAGAAGAGGAUGUUAAACAGUAGCAACACAGUAGCAUCUCCAUCACUGUGUGAAGCUGAUCCCAAGUAUGACAGUAAGUUCUUACCUAUUGAAGCAGUCUCUCACUGCCUGCAGAAGAAAGCAGCAAGACAGAGUUUUAAUUGUGUUUGGCUGCUCCUUUGAGGUUCCAUGCA
Molecule: long non-coding RNA, 5773 nt
Organism: Strigops habroptila (Kakapo)
Lineage: Eukaryota; Metazoa; Chordata; Aves; Psittaciformes; Psittacidae
Exons: 2
Source: RefSeq, a predicted model, not a curated record